RNAcentral lists this long non-coding RNA (1150 nucleotides) under Nilaparvata lugens (brown planthopper). RNAcentral's name for it is "uncharacterized LOC120350604, transcript variant X2". Lineage: Eukaryota; Metazoa; Arthropoda; Insecta; Hemiptera; Delphacidae. The record is from RNAcentral.
ACAACAAAAGAUAAUCUCAAAGCUUGUAAGGUUCCAAGGAGGCUGGUGGCCAAAGUAGAUGCUGCAGUGGAGGAGGCUCUGGAGAUGCAAGAUAUUUUCAUCUAAGUGAGUAGAAGAAAGAGAUAAUUGUGAGGAGUACUCUGGAGAGAAGGGUGCAGUUUCAGACACUGCGAUGUGUGAUGAUCUCAAUGGCAAAGAGGCGUUUAAAUGAGGAAGCAGCUGCUAAACCUCCAAAGAGGAGGUGCAUUGGUGAUGCACCGCCACCUGGCCUAAGACGAUCGGAGAGGAUUAAGCAGCUAAAUGUGCUCCAACGAUGUUUAUAGAAUUUGUUUCCAUGUGCAGUGGCUGGGGGAUGGGAGGCAUUCCUGGGUUAGCCUCUCUUAUUUGGUGCCCUUUGAGAGGGCACCAACCCCCCAACAGACACCCUACACUAUGUUGAAGAAUUACAUCAUAACUGUUGCUCCAACGAUGUCGUUAGGGUGCCACUCUAUGUGCGGUGGUUGUGGGAUGGGAGGCACACGUGGGUUGGCCUCUCUUAUUUGGUGCCCUUUGAGAGGGCACCAACCCCCCAACAGACACCCUUCACGAUGUUAAAGAACUAUGUCAUAACUUUUGCACAAAUGAUGUUGAGCUAAUUCCCCAAGCUGGCUGAGCUAGUUCCUACGAAGACCCCUACUCAAAUAAGAGAACAGGCAAGAAGGUUCAAUAAUUUCCCCUUAUUCGACAUCUUCCAGUUGGAUAUCAGCGAUGUUGGGGGUGAAGCGACUGACAGGACCUGUGAUAUGGAAUCUGGGGAUGAUUUAGGGGAUGGCAACAAGAUGAUAUCCACACAGGAUAGUGUUGACACCCCUGCAAUUGGACUAGUUUGCCCGCAAUUGGACGGUGGCCCCGUUUGCCCGCUGGAUUCUGUGGUUGAAUGUGAGGUAUGUGGAAACAAAAUGGAAGGCCAGUCAGAGUAAGUACUAUCUCUUUCUCUAAGUUUAAGGCAAAAGUCUAACGAGACUCGGAAUUAUAACAAAUAGGUGACCCUAGGAUUUCUAGUGGAAAGCACUAGUGUGGGCAAAAAUUUACCCAGAAUAAUUUUCAUUUCAGGCCGCUUCUCGGCCUGUGGCCCCGUGCAAACUCGUAUCUUGGCAACAUUGAUGCAAGA